This 89-nucleotide transfer RNA is filed under the name Felis catus (domestic cat). It matches the Rfam family "tRNA". Rfam says of the family: Transfer RNA (tRNA) molecules are approximately 80 nucleotides in length. Their secondary structure includes four short double-helical elements and three loops (D, anti-codon, and T loops). Lineage: Eukaryota; Metazoa; Chordata; Mammalia; Carnivora; Felidae. The record is from Rfam by way of RNAcentral.
GCCUGGGUGGCUCAGUCGGUUGAGCCUCCGACUUCGGCUCAGGUCAUGCAUGAUCUCACCGUUCGUGGGUUCGAGCCCCGCGUCAGGCU